GAGGAAUAGACUGUGGCAGUGAGCACGGAUUCAUUGGAGCAGGGAGCGGACCGCCUGUACUCCAGAAGGAACAAAAAAGAAGAAAACAAAAAGGUUGAAUUUUUCUAAAAGCUUUAAAAGAUUACUUUGGAGCUUCUUUUUGGUCGACAUUUCCAGAGGAAUUAAGGCUAAAAGCAGCUGCUGAGAUCAGAGCGUCACGUCUGCAUUAGGACCCUGAGACUCAUCCAAAUAAAUGCAACAAAGCCUGAGGGAAGCCAGAAAUACAGAAAUUUAGGAACUCUUACAAACUGCCCAAGAUUCACUUUUCCAAGCUGGCAAGUUCUCUGCAGAUCUGAAUUAGUAACUGUAAGAAAGCAAGUAUCUCACAACUCCCAAAACACUCACACAGGAACAAUAAACUUCCGAAUUAAAAGCAAGUACUACCUA
Molecule: long non-coding RNA, 426 nt
Organism: Gallus gallus (chicken)
Lineage: Eukaryota; Metazoa; Chordata; Aves; Galliformes; Phasianidae
Exons: 3
Source: RefSeq, a predicted model, not a curated record